This is a long non-coding RNA of Gasterosteus aculeatus aculeatus (three-spined stickleback), 684 nucleotides long. The record is from Ensembl. NCBI's taxonomy places the organism in Eukaryota, Metazoa, Chordata, Actinopteri, Perciformes, Gasterosteidae.
GCAUCUGUUUUGUAUUUCUUGGGGGCAUUUGUAUCGUAUUGCUUGGGGGCGUUUGUGACAAAUCCAACAAGACUCCACGCACAAGGAAUCAAGAAAAGGCCAUCAAUGCUGGUGUGCGAUGGCUCGAUUGUCCUUUUGCAAUCUCUGUCCUACAAUUUCUGUCGAUUGAGCCUUCAGGAGCUGCUCUGCAGAUAUUAUGAUAGGACAGGAAGACUCCACCAAUUCUGCAUCGCUGCUUGAGCCAUGUGAUGAAAAACGGAUAAGACCUUUGUCAAAAACAGUGACCUGGGACGCCACGGUACAGGUCCUGUGUAUGACAAACUUUCACGGAUGUUCAAAAGUAGCUGCAUGUAAACCCACAAACUGGCACAAAAGGACUAAAGGUGCAUUAGUCCAUCCUGGAUAUGACAAGGUAUCACAAGGAAUUAUGGAGAAAAGCCAGUGGGACCUGAAAAUGAUCCACUUUCAAUGGAGACAACUCACUAGACUCGACGACUUUGUCUACACCUACAAGACGACAGUGACAAUGACCCUUCGAAGAGACUACAGUGACUCUCUGAAGGGGAAGGAAAAGAAGAAGAACCCAACUGAGGAUGAUAAGGACGCACAGGUAGGCAUCAUUGAAAUCACAGUUGAUGCUACAUCACAGCCCUGUGAUUGGCUGGCGACCAAUCCAGGGUGUAC